UGAGUAAACAUUGAAAUAGAAAAAAAUUCAAAGAUGACAUUUUCUAAAGAAUCAACAUUUUACCUUUUACAAAAAUCUAUUAAUUCAUAACUUUUUAGGAGACAAUUACUGUGACCAGAAAGUAAAAGCUAAAAAUUAUGCUCAAAGUAGAUUUUAUAAAUUCAUGUAUAAGUAACUUUUUUUUAAACAGUCAUACAGCAUUUAAGGUAUCAAGUAGAGUUCAAAAUCUUGAACAAAAGGCAUACCAACAUAUUAACAUAACACUAAACUUUUCACAUUUUAUCUAUUAUCUUUUUAAACCCCAUAAUGUAUAAAGUUGCCAUGAUUUAUAGUUUUAAAGAUAAGGACAUUGAAGCAAAAACAAUUGACCAAAAAUCAAAGCAAAUUAGUGGUAGAUCAUAACUACUUAGAUGUUUUUGAUUUCUAGCUCGAUUAUUUACUAAAUAAUUAAUUAUGAUAAAUCUGUACAAUUCUCAAACUACCCAUGCCUUCCUUACCUUGUGAAGUAUAUCCAAUAAGCUAGUUAGGGCCUUUGUUCUUGACAUUUUAUGAUCAGCAACGGUGUGCACAAGUUUUCUAUCAAUUAUCCUUUCCUCUCACUACAUGAUGAAUCUCUUUCUAAUCAAAAAGCUAAAUGACAUCCUUUAUAGUCUCUUUCUAUGAAAUCCUUCACUGGCAAUAUGCUACAGCCUAUUAUUAAUAAUGUUCAUCACAUGAGUCUCCUUUGGGUGAUCAACAACUCUGAUUCUUUGGAAAUAAAAUAUAUCACAUGCCACAAGCCAUGAAGUAUGAACAGUAUUAGUCUAUUUCAGAGAGAAGCUUGAAAAAAAGACUCAAGGAAAUCUAAUUGGCUUACUUUUUCAAUUCUGGGCCAAGUUUACUCUCUACCUCCAUUAUCUAUCUAAAAUACCAAUGGCUCAGUUUUACAAACUAUCAAUUGCAUUUUGAAGUUUUCCUAUAUGAAUAGGGCUUAUCUGAAGAAAGCUUUUAGUUUGGAACAUUCCAUUAAAACAACUGGGCAAAAAUUUAAAAACAAUAGUUAGGAGAUUCAAUAAGGCAAAUUUAUUUUAAAUACUAGGAAGAAAAAAAUCCUAACAAUUAGUCAUCCUAAAAUUAAACAGGAGGCCAAAAUGAAUGAAUUUCCAUCUGUUGGAAAUCUUCAAUUAAGGGUUGAAUAUUCAGUUGUUGGUUAUGUUAUACUAGGGAUUUUUUAGUGUAAUAAUUGGAUUAUAUGGCCACUGAAAUUAAUUCUAACUCUAAUUCUCUGAAAUGUUUUUUAAAAAACAAUCAAAAAGAACAAUGGAAUCUUGUAUUCUCUCUACCUUUCAUAGUCAAUUAUGCUACUAUAGAAACAUUUAUUGAAGAACUUCUGUGAAAAACUUGCCUGCUCUCUUCCUAAAUUUUCAUCAAGAUGUCUGAGUGAAGGAAAAAAAUGGCAUUCAUUUCCUUCAGGAAUGUCCAUCCUGCAAUGUUACAAGGAAUCUGGUAAAAUUUUGACCUGCACAUAAGAGGUCUCUUGUUGGAAGAAUAACUUUCCAUGGAACUUUUGCUAAUUGGACACUCUAUAAAGAAAUUAUUAAAUUUCAAGAAAAAAAAAGGCUGUAAUCUUGAAAAAAAUUAUCAAAGACAAUCCUAAA
This is a long non-coding RNA of Antechinus flavipes (yellow-footed antechinus), 1637 nucleotides long. RefSeq lists it as uncharacterized. The transcript has 3 exons. NCBI's taxonomy places the organism in Eukaryota, Metazoa, Chordata, Mammalia, Dasyuromorphia, Dasyuridae. The record is from RefSeq and is a predicted model, not a curated record.